Molecule: small nuclear RNA, 60 nt
Organism: Spermophilus dauricus (Daurian ground squirrel)
Lineage: Eukaryota; Metazoa; Chordata; Mammalia; Rodentia; Sciuridae
Source: Ensembl
GUGCUCACUUUGGUAGCACUUAUACUAAACUGGAACAUUACACAGAAGAUUAGCAUGGCC